GGAGGAGUGGCCGAGUGGCUUAAGGCGGCGGUCUUGAAAACCGUUGAGUGUCACAGCUCCGUGGGUUCAAAUCCUACCUCCUCCGCCA
This 88-nucleotide transfer RNA is filed under the name Desulfobacteraceae bacterium 4572_19. Its description in RNAcentral is "tRNA-Ser". It matches the Rfam family "tRNA". Rfam says of the family: Transfer RNA (tRNA) molecules are approximately 80 nucleotides in length. Lineage: Bacteria; Pseudomonadati; Thermodesulfobacteriota; Desulfobacteria; Desulfobacterales; Desulfobacteraceae. The record is from RNAcentral.